UACAGAGGGUGCAAGCGUUAAUCGGAGUUACUGGGCGUAAAGGGCGCGUAGGUGGAUAUUUAAGUCGGGUGUGAAAUCCCUGGGCUCAACCUAGGAAUUGCAUUCGAUACUGGAUAUCUAGAGUAUGGUAGAGGAAAGUAGAAUUCCCGGUGUAGUGGUAAAAUGCGUAGAUAUCGGGAGGAAUACCAGUGGCGAAGGCGACUUUCUGGUCCAAUACUGACACUGAGGCGCGAAAGCGUGGGGAG
RNAcentral lists this ribosomal RNA (245 nucleotides) under uncultured bacterium. RNAcentral's name for it is "partial 16S ribosomal RNA". It matches the Rfam family "Bacterial small subunit ribosomal RNA", at positions 524 to 768 of the family's 1533-position model. The record is from RNAcentral.